AUGAAACGUCGAAACUGGGCUGGCAACCCUUGUUGCUCAUUCUGCAAAUGCAGGGAGACUUACCUGCAUCUAUUCUUCCUGUGCCCCGUCGCUAGGGUCGCCUGGCGCACAGUUGGUGCAGUGCUGGGUACUGACUUGUGCCCCAACAACAUAUGUCAGUUCUACUCUUGGUGUUAUGCUUUUCUUCCCCAUGGAGAGAAACACUUUACUGUGGGGCUUGCGGCCAUCUGCUGGGCCAUUUGGAACCGCAGGAAUCAAGCUACAUUUGAAUUCAAGAAACUGUCAUCUCCUUUUGAGAUUGUUUUCAAUGCUUGUGCACAUCUUUCCUACUGGGCAGGUUUGUUGAAAGGCAAAGAACGAACGGAGCUGGAGCAGGGCGCGGCACUUCUGAAGAUGAACGCUAAGAAGAUGAUGAGCCUUUGUGCGUCUGCAUACACGGGGACCACCCAGGGGUGA
RNAcentral lists this ribosomal RNA (456 nucleotides) under Triticum aestivum (bread wheat). RNAcentral describes it as "partial small subunit ribosomal RNA". Lineage: Eukaryota; Viridiplantae; Streptophyta; Magnoliopsida; Poales; Poaceae. The record is from RNAcentral.